Molecule: small RNA, 412 nt
Filed under: Rattus norvegicus (Norway rat)
Lineage: Eukaryota; Metazoa; Chordata; Mammalia; Rodentia; Muridae
Description: uncharacterized LOC102554624
Source: RNAcentral
ACAGAGGAGGUAACUGGCUGCCUGCCCAUCAUGCCCAGCGCCCCCCUUUGGUGGGAAAAUGACCGCCUAUCCGUCUGAAUCAGUCUAUACCCUUCGGGGAGUAAUUAACCUGCAGUCCGUUGACUACAGACACCAAGGGCUCCUUAAGGCGCCAAGGCACUCACAGGACAACCAUCUCAUAACAAAUUCCAUCUACUCCCUGAUAAGACAACUCUAAGCAUGUUUUUGGUUUUGAAAAAGCUGUCUAAUGUGUGAGUCAAACGUGAACAUUCAAACCCAGGUUGAAUGGAAUAAUAGUUCCAGUGGAACUUCUGAAACAAUGCCUUACAGAAAUUGUUAAGAGCUAGCACACACUCAAGACAUCCAAGGCAAUCAUUAUAAUUUGUUUUGUUUUGGGCUGGAGAGAUGGCUC